Dreissena polymorpha is the source of this 8918-nucleotide RNA transcript. RefSeq lists it as uncharacterized. The record is from RefSeq and is a predicted model, not a curated record. Lineage: Eukaryota; Metazoa; Mollusca; Bivalvia; Myida; Dreissenidae. The transcript has 8 exons.
GUAGUGUUACGGACUGUCCUCAGCGCACAAUUUAUUUAUGUGUUGCGCCUCAGACGCGAAUUCCGCCCAUUAUUGAAAACAAGUUGCUAAAAGUAAACACAUCCGGUUUUGUUACGAGCACUUUCCACUCCGAGCCAAAAGGGCAUUGCAUUGAAUUGAGACUAAAGAAGGCUUGAAAACAUGACCCCAGUUUUGUUGUAUGGUCCAGUAGCUCUUUGACUCUCAACCUGAAGUUAAUCAGAACUCAAACUCGGCCCUUAACAAUAUCCACGAGGCCAGCAUAUCAGCUCAGCUUCUGAGCUUCAGCAAACACUAUAAGCCGCCAAGAUAAAAACAUCGUUGAAGUGAAAGUCAAAGACAAUCCUGACCCCUUCGCUUAAGUAAUUCAGCACAAAAACGUCUUGCGUCAGAGUAGCAAGCCUCCAAACAUCUUCUCCCAUGUUGGCUUCAUCAACACUUCUUACAGCGGAGCCUUGACGAGUUCGACUUCCAUCCCAGCAUCGAUGUUGCUUAGCAACAAUUCAAUGCUGGGAAUUGACAAAUUGUUCUAGACGAGUUGCUUACACAGAAACAAUCUGAUUCAACAGAUAGAGCAGGUGUUGCGUGACUUGUCCCUUAUUGCGACUGACCUCGAUAAGUUGCUCUCGAAUAAUGUUAACCUUUUGCCAGUAUGGGAUUGACGCCAUUUAACAACAGUUGUUGUUGAGAAUUCCCGGGUUUGAGGUGGCAACUUUGGCGUCGGGACUCGCUCCAUCUCUGUCUAUGGCCCAGUCAAAGCAGCAGCAGCAGCAGCAGCAAUAAGAACAACAAGUAGUAUCUGAGCGGUGCUCUGGGAUACGGGGCUUCAUAGCCUGUUCCUCCUGGUCCAGGACCUUUGGACAAAUGUUCAAAUAGUACUACCCACAGGAUGAAGCCACUCUGAAUCCGGGGCUCCAUACUUUCUUGGCCAGGGGCCAAGACUACCUCGUCAAUAAGCAGAGCACCAGCAUUGAUAUCGAGUUGGCCCAGCAACCGCACCAGUCCCGCCUGCAGGAGCCCCAGUCCAGAACGACCCUUCCCCUCCCUUGACUUCUAGCUCCUCUCCCUUGACCGCCUGCCUCAAAAAGUCAGCAUCGUUGAACAACUCCGUUCUGCAGCAAAUUCUGAGCAUGAUUCUGUUCUGAACAAACGCAAUGCCCACGUCACGUUUUCCAAACAUAAGCCUGGGUAGUUUUGUUAAGCUAGAGUUCCACGUGGGCCUGAAAGGGACGAGUGUUACAGACACAAACAGUUAUAGCAGUAGUUAUGGUAACGCUAACAGUCAGUUGUUGCUGUUGGACAUCACAACAAAUAUCAUGAAGAAUAAAAAUUUCAAUAAGUUGUUCCAAUCUUUAUGGGACAAACAGAAAUUGAACGGAAGAAAAUCAAGGAACAAUAAAAGCGUAAGCUUUCCUAGUGGGAUACAUCUGCUGUUGAUAGUUUGGACAACAGUAGGGUUGCGGACUGCCCCAGAUUGUCCUCUCAGCGGCCAAAAUAUCAUAAUAGAACGGACUUUUGGCAAUGUUACUGACACAGAAAGGCAAUAAUGACUUGGUUGUCAAUACCCAGAGCACGAUACAUCCAUGCUGACAAAGAAAGGCAGUAAUGACUUGGUUGUGAACACCCAGAGCGCCAUACAUCCAUGCUGACACAGUAAGGCAGUAAUGACUUGGUUGUGAACACCCAGAGCACAAUACAUCCAUGCUGACACAGAAAGGCAGUAAUGACUUGGUUGUGAACACCCAGAGCACAAUACAUCCAUGCUGACACAGAAAGGCAGUAUGACUUGGCUGUGAACACAAUACACCCAUGCUGACACAGAAAGGCAGUAAUGACUUGGUUGUGAACACCCAGAGCAAGAUAUUUCCAUGCUGACACAGAAAGGCAGUAAUGACUAUGCUGUGAACACCUUGAGCAAGAUAUAUCCUUGCUAACACAGAAAGGCAGUAAUGACUAUGCUGUGAACACCCGGAGCAUAAUACAUCCAUGCUGACACAAAGUUAGUAAUGACUAUGCUGUAUACACCCGGAACACAAUACAUCCAUGCUGACACAGAAAGGCAGUAAUGACUUGGUUGUGAACACCCAGAGCACAAUACAUCCAUGCUGACAAAGAAAGGCAGUAAUGACUUGGCUAUGAACACAUAACACGAUACACCCAUGCUGACACAGAAAGGCAGUAAUGACUUGGCUGUGAACACAGAGCACAAUACAUCCAUGCUGAAACAGAAAGGCAGUCAUGACUAUGCUGUGAACACCCAGAGCACGAUAUAUCCACGCAAACGCAGAAAGGCAGUAAUGACAAUGCUGUGAACACCCAGAGCAAGAUAUAUCCAUGCUGACACAGAAAGGCAGUAAUGGCUAUGCUGUGAACACCCAGAGCAAGAUAUAUGGAUGCUGACACAGAAAGGCAGUAAUAACUAUGCUGUGAACACUCAGAGCACAAUACAUUCAUGGUGACACAGAAAGGCAGUAAUGACUUGGUUGUGAACACCCAGAGCAAGAUAUAUCCAUGCUGACACAAAAAGGCAGUAAUGACUUGGCUGUGAACACAGAACACGAUGCACCCAUGCUGACACAGAAAGGCAGAUAUGACUUGGCUGUGAACACAGAGCACAAUACAUCCAUGCUGACACAGAAAGGCAGUUAUGACUUGGUUGUGAACACAGAGCACAAUACAUCCUUGUUGACAUAGAAAGGUAGUAAUGACUUUGCUGUGAACUCAGAGCACGAUACAUCCAUGCUGACACAGAAAGGCAGUAAUGACUUGGAUGUAAAUACCCAGAGCACAAUACAUCCAUGCUGACACAGAAAGGCAGUAAUGACUUUGCUGAGAACUCAGAGCACGAUACAUCCAUGCUGAGACAGAAAGGCAGUAAUGACUUGGAUGUAAACACCCAGAGCACAAUACAUCCAUGCUGACACAGACAGGCAGUAAUGACUUUGUUGUAAACACUAAGAGAUCCAUACAUCCAUGGGGUGUGCAACAGACGCAAAUUACGCCCACUAUUGUGAACAAGGUGCUUAAAGUGAACACGUCUGGUUUUGUUAUGAGCACUUAGCACUCCGAGUCCAAAAGGCCUCACAUUGAAUUGAUGCAAGAGAAGGCUUUGAAAAAUAACAGCAGUUUUGUUGUGUGGUCCAGUACGCCCUUCGACUCUCAACCUGAAGAAAUCAAAACUCAAACUCGUCUCUUAGCAAUAUCAGCAAGGCCAGCAUGUCAUCUCAGCUUCUUGAACUUCAGCAAACAUGACAAACGUCAUUGAAGUGAAAGUCGAUGACAACCCCCUUCUUGCACAAAUACUACAAUUGCUUAAGAAAUUCAGCACGAAGACGUCUUGCGUCAGACUACCAAGCCUCCUAGCAAUAUCUUCUCCCAUGUUGGCUACAUCAACACUUACAACAGCAGAGCCUUGGUGAGUUCGACUUCCGUCUCGGCAUCAAUGUCGCUUAGCAACAAUUGGAUGAUGGGCGUCGACAAAUUAGGCCGGACAAGUCGCUCAAACUGAAAUGAUCUGAUCCAACAGGUAGAGCAGGCGUUGCGUGACACGUCCGUUAAUGUAACUGACCUCGAUAUGUUGUUCUCGAAUAAUGUGAACCUUAGGCCUGGAGAGCAGUAUGCGAUUGACGCCAUUCAACAACAGUUGUUCUUGGCAAUUCUCAGGUUUGGGGUGGCGACUUCAGCGUCAGGACUUGCUCCAUCUCUGUCUAUGGCCCAGUCGUAGCAGCAGCAGCAACAAGAACAAUAAGUAGUAUCUUAGCGGUGUUCUGGGAUAUGCGGCUUCAUGUAUGUGCUUAAAUUGUCAUCCCAGAUUAGCCUGUGCAGACUGCACCUACAUUAAGUCCUAUUAAAUUGUCAUCCCAGAUUAGCCUGUGCAGACUGCACAUACAUUAAGUUCUAUUACAUUAUCAUCCCAGAUUAGCCUGUGCAGACUGCACCUACAUUAAGUCCUAUUAAAUUGUCAUCCCAGAUUAGCCUGUGCAGACUGCACAUACAUUAAGUUCUAUUAAAUUGUCAUCCCAGAUUAGCCUGUGCAGACUGCACAUACAUUUAGUCCUAUUAAAUUGUUAUCCCAGAUUAGCCUGUGUAGACUGCACAUACAUUAAGUCCUAUUAAAGUGUCAUCCCAGAUUAGCCUGUGCAGACUGCACAUACAUUUAGUCCUAUUAAAUUGUUAUCCCAGAUUAGCCUGUGUAGACUGCACAUACAUUAAGUCCUAUUAAAGUGUCAUCCCAGAUUAGCCUGUGCAGACUGCAUGUACAUAAAGUCCUAUUAAAGUGUCAUCUCAGAUUAGCCUGUGCAGACUGCACAUACAUUAAGUCCUAUUAAAGUGUCAUCCCAGAUUAGCCUGUGCAGACUGCACAUACAUUAAGUCCUAUUAAAGUGUCAUCCCAGAUUAGCCUGUGCAGACUGCACAUACAUUUAGUCCUAUUAAAUUGUUAUCCCAGAUUAGCCUGUGUAGACUGCACAUACAUUAAGUCCUAUUAAAGUGUCAUCCCAGAUUAGCCUGUGCAGACUGCACGUACAUAAAGUCCUAUUAAAGUGUCAUCUCAGAUUAGCCUGUGCAGACUGCACAUACAUUAAGUCCUAUUAAAGUGUCAUCCCAGAUUAGCCUGUGCAGACUACACAUACAUUAAGUCCUAUUAAAGUGUCAUCCCAGAUUAGCCUGUGCAGACUGCACAUACAUUUAGUCCUAUUAAAUUGUUAUCCCAGAUUAGCCUGUGUAGACUGCACAUACAUUAAGUCCUAUUAAAGUGUCAUCCCAGAUUAGCCUGUGCAGACUGCACAUACAUUAAGUCCUAUUAAAGUGUCAUCCCAGAUUAGCCUGUGCAGACUGCACAUACAUUAAGUUCUAUUAAAGUGUCAUCCCAGAUUAGCAUGUGCAGACUGCACAUACAUUAAGUUCUAUUAAAGUGUCAUCCCAGAUUAGCCUGUGCAGACUGCACAUACAUUAAGCCCUACUUUCCCAGAAUGAGACUCGUAUACUUCACUUAACAUCAGUAUUUUAUGUGCCUGAAAAGUUCCUAGCAUCAAGUGGGAAUUAUGUGCUUUUAGAUUGAUCACACUUAAAAUGCAAAUAGCACUUGAUCUGAUAUCAAUUUUAAUCAUAGAAGGUCAGGAGUGGCAUUCCAGAAGCAUCUUAAGUUAAAUUUUAUUUUUACCCUUAAAUUGGGAAUUUUUCUUCAGUGUUUUAUUUCAUACUGCAAUAGUUAGGCAUCGAAAAUUACAUCAAAAUAACAUCAUUAUGUCAAUGUUAUUUGAGAGUUACCAAAAAAACUUGCAUGUCUUUAUUGAGUAAAGAAAUACAAAACAUUGUAUUUUUUAACUUAAGUGAAAAUAUUUAAGAAAUGACUUAAGAUGUUUCUGGAAUACCACCCAUGGGCAUUAAGUUUUGUAUAUUUUCGACCGAAAUCCAGCCCCUGAACCAAAAGUUUAUCCUUGCAGAAAAAUCUGCUUUAAUAAAAUUGUAAAAAAUAUAUUUAAUUUUAGAAAAAUAAUUAUGUAAAAGCCUUCAGCUCAUUUCAAUUUUUUUUUUCUUCAUUUAUUUUCAAUAAUUAUUUAAAUUUCUGGAUUUUGUUUUAAAAGCCUGUUCCUACAGGAACCCAUGCAAUCAUAGAUCGGUACCUAGCUGAACAACAGGCUGUCUGGUCAGCUGGGCCCAGGGCCCAGUGACACUUCCUGGCCCAGGACCUUGGGGCCAAUGCUCAACUAGUCCUACCCGCAAGGUGGAGCCACACUGAACCUGGGGCUCCAUACUUUCUUGGCCAGUGGCCAAGAUAGCCUCGUCAAUUAGGGACACAUUCCUGGGAUGCCCUAAGGUCUUUCUAUCUGUUCACAGAAGUCUUAUACUCACAAGUUCAAGCCCAGAAGCGAUGUCCACAUUAUCAAACUCUGCAUCUCAAUAGAAACCCGGAUAGCAAGGCGUUGAGUUUGUUCUUGAAGCAUUUGCACCUUAAGCAGUCAUCAUCUUGAUAUUCUGGAAUCUCCAUGGUGAAGGACCCUCAGUCUGUGAACAAAAUGCAGAGCGAACCUCAGAUGCCUUUUGACGAAAUCAAAUCAUCCAGUCAGAAACACAGACUGUUGUUGCAGCAGUUGUGACCAUAUUGACCCCAGUCAAACCUAAGAAGCUCAGAGAUAAAUUCUGAUUUAGUUCUGCUAGUCUCUACAUACCGCCUGGUUUGGUCAGCACUUACUCUGACUCUUUGAAUAUUAUGACGGAUGGAAAUGAAUGACCUUGUUCAGAUCGAAAUGGCAGAAUGUCACAUCACAAGAAUUCAAGCGGAAAGCCAGAAAGUCAUGUCAAUAGCCACAUUUUUUAUGGCACCAGCCAAGUUGUAUUCAAAGACAAACAAUAGUUUAUGCUCUAUUGUGUAUGUGACCAGCCAAGUUGUAUUCAAAGAAAAACAAUAGUUGACGUUUUAUUUUCUAUGUGACCAACCAAUUUGUUUGUAUAGGUCCCUGGUUUAACAAAGCAUUUAAAGUAAUUUUAAAAGCACACAUAUUGCAUGUCUAUUCAAUGUCUUUGCCUGUAUUAUGAAACUUUCACUACAGAUAUUGAUCCUGAUGAUGGUAAAUAAAUGGGAAAUACACUGUUAUCAAAGAUUUUUUAAGAUUGCCAAAGCUGUUUAAAUGAUGCUGGUAACUGGAAAAAAAAAAUAUUGGAAUAUUUUCAUGUUAUAAGACGAGUUUCAGUUGUCUGUUUUUAACCCGUUAAUAUAGAUAAGCUAAUUUAAAAUAUUUGUUCAGAAAGGUGUAAAAUGUUUACGCUUCAGAUUUUUGUCUAUCAACCUUCUGAAAACAAUACUAGUCAAUUGGCUCAUUUGGGUCGGUAUUCGAUCAUGAAUCUUUUUUAGUAGCAUACUAUGUAUUUCAUGGGAAUAUAAAUAAAUUAUGUGCAAAAUUAUUUAAUCUACCUAAAAUAAUCGAUUCUGUAUUUACUACUAGUACUUUGUUGAUUUCAGUGGAUAUUGUUUGUUAAAUGAUUAGAGUAUGACUCUUGUUGAAAAGCUUUAAAUGAAACUGAAUUAAAAAAUAAAUAUUUAAUUUGUUUUAGAGUUUUAUGAAAAAUGGCAAAAGAUUGUUAAGUUGUGUUCUUUUAUCAUAUACUUACAUGGUCAUAAGUGUUAAAAUUUGUUUUCAGACAUAAUAGUUUAUUAUGCUUUAUAUUUGUAUAUGUACAUAACGACGACCAGAUUGUAUCCUCUUUAAUCAGUGAGUAAUUUAAUCAAGAUUUCUUGAUCACUGUAUCAAGUGUAUAUGUAUAUUUUGUCAUAUAUACAUAUAGCAACUGUAAAACAAUUGUAUUUUAAAUGUAAUGUAUUCAUAUAUUGUUGCCAUUUUUAUAAGAUAAACUCACUGUAAACAUUAAUUUGUACAAACCAUUGUUAUAAAAAACAUUUCUUGUGUCAAUGCUAAAAUAUGUAUUAAACUGUUAAAAUAAUGUACAGUAACAACUUCUGAGGAGAAAAAUAUACUUAAAGCAAUAGAAACACAUUGUUAUAUGAAAUGCUUUUUAUUAAGAACACCUACUUAAAAUUUGUUUAAUUUUGUUUUAGAUUAUCUGAAGAAAAAAUAGUACCAUGUAAUUUGAAAUCAGUCAAUGACAAAUUAAGGGAGUGUUGCCAUAUGGUAACAAUAGUCAAGAAAUGAAAUUGUCUCUAUUAGAAAUACAACAGAGCAAUACAAUAUGCCUAAACAAGAGCACCGCAUAAAGGGUGCCACGCUCGGCUACGGGUGCAGUUUUGAAUAAAUGAAAGCUUGUCUGAAUUUAUUUUAGAGGUUACAGUGACUUGACCAUUGACCUAGUGACCCCAAAACGGGUGUGGUGUGUAGAACUCAUCAAGGUGCAUCUACAUAUGAAGUUUGAAAGUAGUAGUUGGAAGCACUUUGAUUUUAGAGCCAAUGUUAAGAUUUUAGCACGACGCGGACGGCGGACGACACGACAAUCUGUAUGACAAUACCUCGAGUUUUCUCAGAAAAUACCGAGCUAAAAAUAAAAACUUAAGAUGUUUGCUUUGCAAUUUUUUUUAAAUAUACACUUAUGAAUGUGCUUAUAUUAAACGUAAACAGUAUUGACAUAUUGCUUACGAUGAAGUUUGACAUUUUAUUAGUUUUGUAACAGUGUGUUUCACCUUUCACAUUGACAAUCCCACAUUUGCUUUCAGUGGGGCCAGUUUCUGUAACUCUUCCACUACAUGUUCAGCAAAUGUUUUAUGACCAGAUUUCCUCAUAUUUGGGAAUGUUUAUAUUUAACUUUUAUUGAAUGCAUGAAACAUGUUUGUUCUGUUUUUUAAUAGCUGAAAAUAGCUUGAUGUUUGUUAAUUGUGUGCCAUGUUGAUCAAUUGAUACAUAAAAAAAACACAUUUUGCGUUAAUUUGUAUGUGUAGCUAAACAACAAAUGUUACCAAAUACAAAUUUAAUUAUUUGGUAACAAUAUAAUUAUUGUGCUAUAUUCGUAAUACCGUAUGAAAUGCAAUAUUAAUUAAAAUGUGUUUAUAUGUUUGUCUACGUCAAAUAAUCAUUUGAAUAAGUAAAUAUAGGGUAAUGAUGUCUAUGGAAAGUACCCGUAGGCACGUUUCAAUUGCUUGUGUACCUCAUAUGGAUCAGGGUCUGUCUAAAUUAUUGCAUGAUUGUUUAUGCCAAUGUCUGAAUUGUGUAAAUAUCUUUAAAAUCGUGAGAUAUUUGUUAAGAGGAUUUUAAUAUUAAAAGAUAUAAUAGCAUCUAAACUUUAACCGGUCAUCUUUUGCAUUUAUUUUUAUGUGUUUAUAUUGUUUUGCUUACCAAGUUUAAUAUUGUCUAUAUUCGUGCGUAAUUUUAUUGUGGUUGUUUUGUUAAGACAGAGCGCAUAUCACUAAUGCUGUUGUUUUAUGUUAUAUGUAAAUAAUUAAACAUGUUUAUUUU